CAGCAGCCGCGGUAAUACCAGCUCUCCGAGUGGUAGGGAUGUUUAUUGGCUUAAAGCGUCCGUAGCCGGCUCAGCAAGUCUUCUGUAAAAUCCAGCGAUCUAAUCGUUGGACUGCAGGGGAUACUGUUGGGCUAGGGGACGGGAGAGGCCGACGGUAUUUCCGGAGUAGGGGUGAAAUCCUAUAAUUCCGGGAGGACCACCAGUGGCGAAGGCUGUCGGCUAGAACGAGCUCAACGGUGAGGGACGAAAGCUGGGGGAGCGAACCGGAUUAGAUACCCGGGUAGUCCCAGCUGUAAACGAUGCGGGCUAGGUGUUAGGGUGGCUACGAGCCACCCUAGUGCCGCAGCGAAGGCAUUAAGCCCGCCGCCUGGGGAGUACGGCCGCAAGGCUGAAACUUAAAGGAAUUGGCGGGAGAGCACCACAAGGCGUGAAGCGUGCGGUUUAAUUGGAGUCAACACCGGAAACCUUACCGGGGGCGACAGCAGGUUGAAGGCCAGAUUGACGAUCUUGCCAGACAAGCUGAGAGGAGGUGCAUGGCCGUCGCCAGUUCGUGCCGUGAGGUGUCCUGUUAAGUCAGGCAACGAUCGAGACCCACGCUCCCUGUUGCUACCAAGGAAAGUUUCCAAGGGGCACUCUGGGAGGACUGCCGCCGACAAGGCGGAGGAAGGAGUGGGCCACGGCAGGUCAGUAUGCCCCGAAUCCCCCGGGCCACACGCGUGCUGCAAUGGCCGGUACAAUGGGUUCCUACCUCGUGAGAGGAUGGUAAUCCCGAAAGCCGGUCGUAGUUUGGAUCGAGGGCUGCAACCCGCCCUCGUGAAACUGGAAUGCCUAGUAAUCGCGUGUCAUUAACGCGCGGUGAAUACGUCCCUGCCCCUUGCACAC
This 882-nucleotide ribosomal RNA is filed under the name uncultured archaeon. RNAcentral describes it as "bacterial SSU rRNA". It matches the Rfam family "Archaeal small subunit ribosomal RNA", at positions 459 to 1344 of the family's 1478-position model. The record is from RNAcentral.